RNAcentral lists this ribosomal RNA (232 nucleotides) under Gammaproteobacteria bacterium TMED104. RNAcentral's name for it is "partial 23S ribosomal RNA". It matches the Rfam family "Bacterial large subunit ribosomal RNA", at positions 2707 to 2925 of the family's 2925-position model. Lineage: Bacteria; Pseudomonadati; Pseudomonadota; Gammaproteobacteria. The record is from RNAcentral.
CUCUGGUGUUCCGGUUGUCACGCCAGUGGCAUUGCCGGGUAGCUAUGUUCGGAAAGGAUAACCGCUGAAAGCAUCUAAGCGGGAAGCCUCUCCCAAGAUAAGAUCUCCCUGAGACUUCGGUCUCCUNAAGAGUCGUCANAGACUAUGACGUUGAUAGGCAAGAUGUGUAAGCGCUGUGAGGCGUUGAGCUAACUUGUACUAAUAACUCGUGAGGCUUGAUUAUGUAACCUUA